RNAcentral lists this ribosomal RNA (253 nucleotides) under uncultured bacterium. Its description in RNAcentral is "partial 16S ribosomal RNA". It matches the Rfam family "Bacterial small subunit ribosomal RNA", at positions 524 to 776 of the family's 1533-position model. The record is from RNAcentral.
UACGUAGGGGGCAAGCGUUGUCCGGAAUUAUUGGGCGUAAAGCGCGUGUAGGCGGCUUGGUAAGUCUGGUGUGAAAACUUGGGGCUCAACCCCAAGCCUGCACUGGAUACUGCCUGGCUAGAGUCCGGGAGGGGAGAGCGGAAUUCCCAGUGUAGCGGUGAAAUGCGCAGAUAUUGGGAAGAACACCGGUGGCGAAGGCGGCUCUCUGGAACGGUACUGACGCUGAGACGCGAAAGCGUGGGGAGCGAACAGG